Paramuricea clavata is the source of this 73-nucleotide non-coding RNA. The record is from the annotation of a GenBank genome assembly. Lineage: Eukaryota; Metazoa; Cnidaria; Anthozoa; Malacalcyonacea; Plexauridae.
GACCGCGUAGCUCAGUUGGAAGAGCAUUGGGCUAGUAUUCCAAAGGUCGUAGGUUCGAAUCCCGCCGUCGCCA